Molecule: ribosomal RNA, 292 nt
Filed under: uncultured Planctomycetota bacterium
Lineage: Bacteria; Pseudomonadati; Planctomycetota
Description: uncultured planctomycete partial 16S ribosomal RNA
Source: RNAcentral
GGACUACCGGGGUUUCUAAUCCCGUUUGCUCCCCUAGCUUUCGCGCAUCAGCGUCAGAAGAGGUCCAGCGGGUCGCUUUCGCCACCGGCGUUCCUUCCGAUAUCAACGCAUUUCACCGCUCCACCGGAAGUUCCACCCGCCCCUACCUCACUCCAGACAAGCAGUAUCCAAGGCCCUUUUCCGGUUAAGCCGAAAGCUUUCACCCCGGACUUGCCUGCCCGCCUACGCGCCCUUUAAGCCCAGUGAAUCCGAACAACGUUCGCACGGUUCGUCUUACCGCGGCUGCUGGCAC